AAGAAAUAUAAAAUUAACAAACUCACUAAAAAAAAGGUGAUAUUCAUCAAAACACACUAAUGAAAAGGAAAUACUCAUAUCAAAACACACAAAAUGAAAGAGCUGCAGUUUUAGAAGCAAGAUGUAUCUUAUGAGGCUUCUACAUGGUCCCAUGAUCAUAAUAUAACAUCCAAAAUACCCAAAAGGAGAAUAAAAGCACUAAUCCAGCAUAUACUACCAACUUGAGCUGAGUUACUUCUUGGUUUUCUUAGGAGCCACGGCAGCCUGAGGUGCAGGUGCAGGUGCUACUACUGGUGCAGGUACUCGUUCAACUGGGCCCUGGGCGAGUCGCUCCUCCCUCCGUGCAUGCUUCCUCUCCCUACUCGCCUUGCUCUUAGCACGCUUAGCCUCAAACUGGUCAUGCAGCGUCUUCUCCCUCGCCUUCUCAGCCUUCGACUUGUGGAUGCUCUCCAUCAGCACCCUCUUGUUCUUAAACACAUUACCCUUAACCUUCAUAUACAUAUCAUGAUACAUAUGCUUGUCAAUCUUCUUCGACUCACGGUACUUGCGCAGCAGGCGGCGCAAAACCCUCAUCCUCCUCAUCCAAAUAAUCUUAGUCGGCAACCUCGCCUCCCUCGUUCCCUUGCGCUUACCGUAUCCGGAGUGACGGCCCUUGCGCUUGGCUUCGAGAGCACGCCUGGCGCGGGAUCGAGAGUGGAUCUUCUGGGGCUUGCGGAUGACGAAGCCGUCCUUGACGAGCUUCCUGAUGUUCUGGCGAGAAUUGGCCAUGGAGAUCUCGCUGACUUCAUUGGGGUCGAGCCAGACCUUACCCUUGCCGCACUUGAGGACGCUUGCGGCGAGGCGCUUCUGGAGAGUGAGGGAAACCAUCGCCGCUCUCUGUGGUUCUCCG
This 889-nucleotide unclassified non-coding RNA is filed under the name Hevea brasiliensis (rubber tree). The record is from RNAcentral. Lineage: Eukaryota; Viridiplantae; Streptophyta; Magnoliopsida; Malpighiales; Euphorbiaceae.